UCCCUGGUGGUCCAGUGGCUAAGACUCUGCAUUCCGAAUACAGGGGGCCCAGAUUCGACCCCUGGUCAGGGAA
This 73-nucleotide transfer RNA is filed under the name Bos taurus (domestic cattle). RNAcentral describes it as "tRNA-Arg (CCG) (tRNA-Arg-CCG-7-1)". The record is from RNAcentral. Lineage: Eukaryota; Metazoa; Chordata; Mammalia; Artiodactyla; Bovidae.